ACUCCUACGGGAGGCAGCAGUGGGGAAUAUUGCACAAUGGGGAAACCCUGAUGCAGCCAUGCCGCGUGUGUGAAGAAGGCCUUCGGUUGUAAAGCACUUUCAGUAGGGAGGAAGGUAGUGUAGUUAACACCUGCAUUAUUUGACGUUACCUACAGAAGAAGCACCGGCUAACUCCGUGCCAGCAGCCGCGGUAAUACGGAGGGGUGCGAGCGUUAAUCGGAAUUACUGGGCGUAAAGCGCAUGCAGGCGGCCUGUUAAGUCAGAUGUGAAAGCCCGGGGGCUUAACCUCGGAAUUGCAUUUGAAACUGGCAGGCUAGAGUCUUGUAGAGGGGGUAGAAUUUCAGGUGUAGCGGUGAAAUGCGUAGAGAUCUGAAGGAAUACCGGUGGCGAAGGCGGCCCCCUGGACAGAUACUGACACUCAGAUGCGAAAGCGUGGGGAGCAAACAGGAUUAGAUACCCUGUAGCACAGAG
RNAcentral lists this ribosomal RNA (471 nucleotides) under uncultured bacterium. Its description in RNAcentral is "bacterial SSU rRNA". It matches the Rfam family "Bacterial small subunit ribosomal RNA", at positions 335 to 799 of the family's 1533-position model. The record is from RNAcentral.